Molecule: ribosomal RNA, 224 nt
Filed under: uncultured bacterium
Lineage: Bacteria
Description: partial 16S ribosomal RNA
Rfam family: Bacterial small subunit ribosomal RNA
Source: RNAcentral
AGUAACGCGUGGAUAACCUGCCUCACACUGGGGGAUAACAGUUAGAAAUGACUGCUAAUACCGCAUAAGCGCACAGUACCGCAUGGUGCAGUGUGAAAAACUCCGGUGGUGUGAGAUGGAUCCGCGUCUGAUUAGCCAGUUGGCGGGUAACGGCCCACCAAAGCGACGAUCAGUAGCCGACCUGAGAGGGUGACCGGCCACAUUGGGACUGAGACACGGCCCAA